GUCUGAGUUGAGGUGGCCAUGAGGAAUUUGUAGGCAAGUUUAGGGGGUUGUCUAUGACUUUUGCCUUUUCUCGACCUUUAGAUCCUACUGAAAGUUUUAGGAACUAAAAAAGGUACUCCUUCCGGAUAAAAAAGAGUGUCCACUUAGCCAUUUAUAUACCCUUUAAGAAAAUACUAUCUCCUAGACAAAAAUAGGUAAUUUGACUAAAUUGUCCCUAAUUAAAUAGGUAUUGAGAUUUGAUCACACAAUACUUAAUAGAGGAAAAUUUGGAAAAAUAAGAUUGAUUAUUUCUUAAUUUGAUAAGUGCACACUCUUUUUGACCAAAAAAAAAAAAAAAAGACUAAAUAGACACUCUUUUUGAUCUGGAGGGAAGUUUUGUCCAUCCAAUUUCGUUAUAAGUCCUAACUAAAUAAAAUUAACGUGUAUUUUCUUCUAGCUUUAUUCAUGUUGACCUAUUGACUUUUAGAGAUUACACUCCCCAAAACGUUAUAUUAACUUAAUGCACUUACGUUAAUGAUAGUCGUAGUUAGGGUUGUACAGGGCAAACCGAUAAACCGCACCAAACCGACAAACCGAACCAAACCGGAAAAAAAACCCGACUAGUGGUUUUGUUUGAUUUGGUUUGGUGUUUGGAAAAAAAACCCGACCAUUAUAGGGUUGGUUUGGUUUUAACUAAAAAAAGUCAAAUCGAACCCAAACCAACCUGAUUAUAGAUAUACUACUUUUAAAUUAUGUUAUGCAUAAAAAUAUUUAUUAAAAUGUAAUUUAUAAAUAUUUUUUUAAAUUUUUUCAUAAUUUUUGUUUUCUUUCUUACAUUUAGAUUUGGAUUUAAGAAGCCCAUCUAAAUAAUAUACAAAAAAAAAAAAAAAAAAAAAAAACCCCAUAAGGAAAUGAACACCACAAGUCCACAAGUCCAAAAGACCAAAACACAAAUGCAAAUUUAGCCCCAAUUCGGUUACAGAAACAGAACCUUCUCCCAAUACUAGGUCUAGCACACAAAAGUUAUAUGCAGAUCCCUCUUUUGUGAAAAACUGCAAAUACUUUCUCCUUUUCUCAUUUCAGAUCCCUUUCUCCUUUUCUCUUUUGCUUUCCUCUCAAAUCAAAGAAAUAAUAUGACACUCAGUAGCUUGUGAUCUUAAUUCUUAGCCAUCGUUCGCCUUUUCUCAUUUCAGAUCCUUUUCUCAUUUCAGAUUAAUCACAGAGCACUCGGAUCUUAUGAUCUUAGGCUACAGGCUACAAGACUCAACUUUACACUGUAUAAGUGCAGAAAUCCAAGAGGCUGCAGCCUUUGUUUAUUUUUGCCCAGUUGUUGUAGUAUAUUGCACUGAUUUGGAUUUUUGCCCAAUCUUCAAGCUGCAGUGAUUCCUUUCAGUUGCUGUAGUAUAUUGCACUGAUUUGGAUUUUUGUUUUUGCUACAUCUGACAUUUUAUGGCCAUUUGACAUUUUAGUUAUAUUAUAAAGUUAAAACUUCAAACA
This is a long non-coding RNA of Lycium barbarum (goji berry), 1476 nucleotides long. RefSeq lists it as uncharacterized. The record is from RefSeq and is a predicted model, not a curated record. NCBI's taxonomy places the organism in Eukaryota, Viridiplantae, Streptophyta, Magnoliopsida, Solanales, Solanaceae. The transcript is spliced from 3 exons.